AUUGAACGCUGGCGGCAGGCCUAACACAUGCCAGUCGAGCGGAUGAGGGGAGCUUGCUCCUGGAUUCAGCGGCGGACGGGUGAGUAAUGCCUAGGAAUCUGCCUGGUAGUGGGGGAUAACGUCCGGAAACGGGCGCUAAUACCGCAUACGUCCUGAGGGAGAAAGUGGGGGAUCUUCGGACCUCACGCUAUCAGAUGAGCCUAGGUCGGAUUAGCUAGUUGGUGGGGUAAAGGCCUACCAAGGCGACGAUCCGUAACUGGUCUGAGAGGAUGAUCAGUCACACUGGAACUGAGACACGGUCCAGACUCCUACGGGAGGCAGCAGUGGGGAAUAUUGGACAAUGGGCGAAAGCCUGAUCCAGCCAUGCCGCGUGUGUGAAGAAGGUCUUCGGAUUGUAAAGCACUUUAAGUGGGGAGGAAGGGCAGUAAGUUAAUACCUUGCUGUUUUGACGGUACCAACAGAAUAAGCACCGGCUAACUUCGUG
RNAcentral lists this ribosomal RNA (484 nucleotides) under uncultured bacterium. Its description in RNAcentral is "partial 16S ribosomal RNA". It matches the Rfam family "Bacterial small subunit ribosomal RNA", at positions 30 to 507 of the family's 1533-position model. The record is from RNAcentral.